RNAcentral lists this ribosomal RNA (253 nucleotides) under uncultured bacterium. RNAcentral describes it as "partial 16S ribosomal RNA". It matches the Rfam family "Bacterial small subunit ribosomal RNA", at positions 524 to 776 of the family's 1533-position model. The record is from RNAcentral.
UACGUAGGCAGCGAGCGUUGUUCGGAGUUACUGGGCGUAAAGAGUGCGUAGGCGGUUUUCUAAGUUUGGUGUGAAAUCUCCCGGCUCAACUGGGAGGGUGCGCCGAAGACUGGAAGGCUUGAGUAUGGGAGAGGUAAGUGGAAUUCCGGGUGUAGUGGUGGAAUACGUAGAUAUCCGGAGGAACACCAGCGGCGAAGGCGGCUUUCUGGUCCGAUACUGACGCUGAGGUGCGAAAGCGUGGGGAGCGAUCCGG